UUUCCCCCCAUAUAUUUUCGCUGAAAAAAACCCACAAAACUCCCCCAGUUCCCCCGUUCUCUCUCUCUCUCAUCAGAAACCAGCCCAAACCCCAUUCUCUCUCGCUCUCUCUCAUCUGAACUUGUCGCUGCCUUCGAUGUUCGCCGUCGCCGUCGAGAUCUGGAGUUCGCCGCCACCUUUAUCAACAAAAACCCUAGCCCUGACCUAUCCCCUCUCCUCAUUGAAACCCUAACCUCCUCAUCAAUUUCAUUGGGGGUUUCAACCGCCGUGACCAGGCGGUCGACGGAACCAUCAGUUCAGAUCGUACGGCGACGAUGGAUGCCGCAUCGAUCUCGGAGGCAUUCAAGGGUUUCGAUCUGAACUAGGAGAAUUGAAUGCUUCUGUCCGAUCUAGUCCAUAGAAGUGCCACUCAUCGGCCUAGAGUUCUUACAGUUGAGGACAAGCUGAUGAAUCUCGGAUGCAAGUAAGUUCCCUUUGUGCCUCCUUUUUACAAAUCUGUUGCACAUUUGUACUAAGGU
Long non-coding RNA from Asparagus officinalis (garden asparagus), 518 nucleotides. RefSeq lists it as uncharacterized. The transcript is spliced from 3 exons. The record is from RefSeq and is a predicted model, not a curated record. Lineage: Eukaryota; Viridiplantae; Streptophyta; Magnoliopsida; Asparagales; Asparagaceae.